CAGUCGCCGCGGUAAUACGUAGGUCCCGAGCGUUGUCCGGAUUUAUUGGGCGUAAGGCGAGCGCAGGCGGUUAGAUAAGUCUGAAGUUAAAGGCUGUGGCUUAACCAUAGUACGCUUUGGAAACUGUUUAACUUGAGUGCAAGAGGGGAGAGUGGAAUUCCAUGUGUAGCGGUGAAAUGCGUAGAUAUAUGGAGGAACACCGGUGGCGAAAGCGGCUCUCUGGCUUGUAACUGACGCUGAGGCUCGAAAGCGUGGGGAGCAAACAGGAUUAGAUACCCCGGUAGUCCCUGUCUCUUAUACC
Molecule: ribosomal RNA, 301 nt
Filed under: uncultured bacterium
Lineage: Bacteria
Description: partial 16S ribosomal RNA
Rfam family: Bacterial small subunit ribosomal RNA
Source: RNAcentral